GUAGGUGGAGCAGAAUCAGUCGACCAAUCAGCGUUUCGUAUGCCGACGUUGGCUGGCGUGUGACGUCAUCGUUCUGGACCUCGAGGAGGAGAGCAGGUCGGCGGAGGAACAAUGGCGAAAAGUCGAGUGAAAAUACAGAGUAAAAUCAACGUUUUACGCCAUCGUUUUUACCUGGGGUUGUUGUCGCUGUGAGAAACUUUGUUGCCGAAGAAGCGCGGAUGUUACAACACACGCCGAGCUCACCUGCAGCAGGAGGAGGUGAGGACAAUAAACAACCAUCACCAAUAAACAAGAGGCCAGAAGAUCCAGGACAGGCGUCUCUAGUUUGUGCAAGGCAGAAGAUCUUUGAGAUGAGAUAAGAAGGGGCAAGGACAGCUAUGGGAGGAAGCCGGAGGAGCGCCUUCAGGGUAACAAAACCAGAGAGGUCUGGAAUCUGGCAACAGGGAACCUGAAAGUAACACCACUCACAGCAGGGGUCAGUGCCCAUCCCUGCCUCUUCAUUAUAUGUGACCAGGCGAGGAGGGUGUUGAGGAAAGCUACAGGACCUCAUGGCAGCUGUGUGGGGUUUUCUGCACAUGUUCAACUUGAAGAGAAGUUUAAGUGGAGAGAGUUUGGCCCCAGUUCUGAAGAGUGGACAGCCUAGUGAGCUGAAAAACUUCAGGCCAGCAGUUGUGACUUGUCACCUGAUGAAGAUGCUGUUGUGUCUCUGUCUUGGUCUUUGGAGUCCAUUGAGGAGGCAUCAAGACAUCUUCUACAAAUACUGAGAUGUUGGUUGUGAAUGCAGAGAGUGUUGACACAAUGAAGUAGUUCUUUUGGACCAGGACUGAGAACAGGUGUCUCCACUUUGUCCACUGCACAAGUUCUUUGAGACCAGGACAGAGGCUUGUUAGGUAAUUCACAGUUUCAUCAUUUGUGUAAUUAUACAAGUAGUUUGUACAAGUUGAGGUACAAAUAGUAUGUAGAGUUUUGAAUGUAUGUGUUUGUGGAAAACAGAUGCUUUGUUAGAUGUUGAGUUGCAAGUGUUAUGAUGAUUUUGUCCAGGUAAAUGCAAUGUGCUUUAUGUGAACUGUGUUAGGCAGAGCAUUGAGUGUUGUUUAUGUUUAGUAUUUCUUCUCAUCGUGGAUGUUAUGGUUUGUUGAUGAUUGUCAGUUGUACUGUGUGAUGCUUGAAGGUUGUCUUGCUAAUAAAGGGGUUUUGUUUGUGUGUGUUUUUUUUUUAUAGUUUUAUGAUUUUUUGUUGGUUUGGCUGAAAUUUUGGGAAGGGAGGAUUGAAGUUGAUGGCAAGUUUUUUUUCUGAGAUGUGUUUUUAUGCCAGAUUUCGAUGAAUUUGUUUUGUUCACUGCUCAAAACGAUGGUUUAAGAAU
Long non-coding RNA from Lates calcarifer (barramundi perch), 1363 nucleotides. RefSeq lists it as uncharacterized. The record is from RefSeq and is a predicted model, not a curated record. Lineage: Eukaryota; Metazoa; Chordata; Actinopteri; Centropomidae. The transcript is spliced from 5 exons.